Molecule: ribosomal RNA, 253 nt
Filed under: uncultured bacterium
Lineage: Bacteria
Description: partial 16S ribosomal RNA
Rfam family: Bacterial small subunit ribosomal RNA
Source: RNAcentral
UACGUAGGGUGCAAGCGUUGUCCGGAAUUAUUGGGCGUAAAGAGCUCGUAGGCGGUUUGUUGCGUCGGCUGUGAAAUCCCGAGGCUCAACCUCGGGUCUGCAGUCGAUACGAGCAAACUAGAGUGUUGCAGGGGAGACUGGAAUUCCUGGUGUAGCGGUGAAAUGCGCAGAUAUCAAGAGGAACACCUGAGGUGAAGACGGGUUGCUGGGCUGACACUGACGCUGAGGCGCGAAAGCCAGGGGAGCAAACGGG